AUCUGAUGAGCAUAGUUCAUCAUCUUGUUUUUCACAGUUCAUUCUUCCGUCACACUGACACACAAACACACGCACACAUAGAAUCGUCUCAUCACAACAAUAUCCAGCACGACGCCGUUUUACCGAACCUUGCAUUGCAUGCUUCCAACUCCAUCAUCAUCAUCAUUUCCCAAAAAACCCUAAACCUCUCAUUUCAUCAUCUCGCCAUGAAGGACCGCCCUUCGCUGUCCUCCCAUGGCGCCAUCUAUGUUCCUCCUCACCAUCGUCUCCGCUCCGUCGUUACCUCCGCCUCCCCCGCUCCCAUUUCCGUCAAACUCAGCCAAAAUCAACCACCGCCACCUACCACUCUCCAAACCCCCUUAUCCAACAACAAUGCAAAUUCUCGCUUCGUUUCUGCUUACGACGACGUCAUUUCCGAGGAUUGCUCCAACCAUCAACUUCACGUUCCUUCCCUACCGAGUGGUUACCUCAAUGAUAACAUGAAUGAAUGGAAGAGGAAAUUAAUGAUGCUGUUGAAUGAUAAGAGUAAGCAAGAGGUGAUUUCGAGGGAGAAAAAAGACAGGCGUGAUUUUGACGACAUUGCAGUUUUGGCAACUAGAAUGGGACUGUAUAGCCAUAAGUAUUCGAAGGUUGUUGUCUUUAGUAAGGCGCCACUUCCAAAUUACAGAUAUGAUUUGGACGAAAGACGGCCUCAGAGAGAGGUGAGCAUGCCUCUCACCGUAAGCAAGCGGGUUGGUGCAUAUUUUGAGGAAUACCUUAGCCAAAAGUCUAGGGUAAAGAAAAGCUUUUCAGAUUCGUCGUUUGCAAGAUCAAGCAGUGAUGGCAGUCUUGGUACAGAUGAAGGGUUUUUUGUGCAACCUGAGCCACUAGCAUCCAGUAAGUCUGUUGUGGAGAAAAUUGCCCGGCAGAUAAGCUUUCAAAUGCGUGAUCAACAACAAGCCUGGCAGGAAUCACCUGAAGGAAGAAAAAUGCUAGAAUUUCGUAGCAAUCUCCCUGCUUAUAAAGAGAAAGAAGCAAUAUUAUCAGUCAUAUCAAAGAAUCAGGUAGUCAUCAUUUCAGGUGAAACAGGUUGUGGCAAGACAACACAAAUUCCACAAUUUAUUUUAGAGUCUGAGAUAGAAUCAGUUCAUGGAGCUGCUUGUAAUAUUAUAUGCACACAGCCAAGACGAAUUUCAGCCAUGUCUGUUUCGGAAAGGGUUGCUUUUGAGAGAGGGGAGAAAUUGGGCGAAUCUGUUGGAUAUAAAGUUCGACUGGAGGGAAUGAAAGGGAAGGAUACCCAUCUUCUCUUUUGCACUACGGGCAUCUUAUUAAGAAGAUUACUGGCUGAUAGAAACCUCAAAGGCGUAACUCAUGUUAUUGUGGAUGAAAUUCAUGAACGUGGGAUGAAUGAAGAUUUUCUGCUUAUUGUCCUUAAAGAACUCCUUCCCCAUCGGCCCGAACUCAAACUGAUUUUGAUGAGUGCUACCCUAGAUGCAGAGCUCUUCUCUUUGUACUUUAAUGGGGCUCCAAUAGUGAACAUACUGGGCUUUACACACCCUGUUAGAACUCUUUUUUUGGAGAACAUUCUUGAAAUCACGGGCUAUCGAUUGACUCCUUCUAAUCAAAUUGAUGAUUAUGGUCAAGAAAGGGCUUGGAAAAUGAACAAACAGGCCCCAAGAAAGAGGAAAAGCCAAAUUGCUUCUGCUGUAGAGGAUGCUAUUAGAUCUGCUGACUUCAGAGAGUACAGCCUUCAGACACAGGAGUCUUUGUCAUGCUGGAAUCCUGACUGUAUUGGUUUUAGUCUCAUAGAAUAUAUCCUGUGUGAUAUUUGUGAGAAUAAAAGGCCUGGUGCUGUUUUGGUUUUCAUGACUGGGUGGGAUGAUAUAAGCUCUCUGAAAGAGAAGCUCCAAACACAUUAUGUCUUAGGAGAUCCGAAGCGUGUUUUGUUGCUUACAUGUCAUGGCUCAAUGGCUAGCUCAGAGCAAAAGUUAAUAUUUGAAGAGCCUGAAGAUGGAGUAAGAAAAGUAGUGCUAGCAACAAAUAUUGCUGAAACGAGUAUCACAGUAGAUGAUGUUGUUUUUGUUCUGGACUGUGGAAAAGCAAAAGAAACAUCAUAUGAUGCACUGAAUAACACACCUUGUUUGCUUCCUACAUGGAUCUCUAAGGCUUCUGCUCAUCAAAGAAGAGGAAGAGCCGGUCGUGUCCAACCUGGGGAGUGUUACCAUCUUUAUCCUAGAUGUGUAUAUGAUGCUUUUGCAGAGUAUCAAUUGCCAGAAAUUUUGAGAACACCUUUGCAGUCUCUCUGUUUACAAAUCAAAAGUCUAAGACUUGGAAGUAUAUCUGAUUUCUUGUCCAGGGCUUUGCAGUCUCCUGAGAUACUGGCGGUACAAAAUGCAGUUGAAUAUUUAAAAAUAAUUGGGGCUUUGGAUGAGAGUGAGAAUCUGACUACUCUAGGAAGCUAUUUGACAAUGCUUCCUAUGGAACCCAAACUUGGAAAGAUGCUUAUAUUAGGGGCUAUCUUCAAUUGCUUGGAUCCUAUAUUAACUGUUGUUGCUGGACUUAGCGUAAGAGAUCCUUUUCUUUCACCACUGGAUAAAAAAGAUCUUGCAGAGGCAGCAAAAUCUCAAUAUACGGGUGCAUACAGUGACCACCUAGCACUUGUACGUGCCUAUGCGGGUUGGAAAGAGGCUGAGAUUGACCUGGUUGGAUAUGAAUAUUGCUGGAAAAACUUUCUGUCAUUCCAAUCCAUGAAGGCUAUUGAUGCUCUUCGGAGGGAAUUCAUAGGGCUGCUUACGGAUAUUGGAUUAGUUGAUAGCAACACAACCAGCUGUGACACAUGGAGCUAUGAUGUGAAUCUUAUCCGGGCAGUUAUUUGCUAUGGUCUAUACCCUGGAAUUUGUUCUGUGGUGCAUAAUGAGAAGUCAUUUGCUUUGAAAACAAUGGAGGAUGGUCAAGUUCUCUUGUACUCGAAUUCGGUCAAUGCUCGAGAAACAAGAAUUCCAUAUCCGUGGUUAGUUUUUAAUGAGAAGAUAAAAGUGAACUCCGUUUUUCUCCGUGACUCAACAGCUGUCUCUGAUUCAAUGAUGCUUUUGUUUGGUGGAAGCUUAUCAAAAGGAGAUGCUGAUAAUCAUUUAAAAAUGUUAGGAGGAUAUCUGGAGUUUUUCAUGGAACCUACUGUUGCUGAUAUGUAUCAAAGUAUAAGGAGAGAACUUGAUGACUUCAUUCAGAGCAAACUGCUUUCUCCAAGAAUGAGCGUACACUCGCAUCAUAACCUCCUAUCUGCGGUACGUUUUCUGAUUUCCCACGACUCAUGUGAAGGAAGAUUUGUAUUUGGUCGUCAGGUCCUUAAACCAUCAAAUAUAUCUGUGAUGGCCCCACACCCAGCAUCCUUGGUUCCAAGAACAGAGAGUGGACCUGGGGGUGAUAAUUCUAAAAGUCAGCUCCAAACUUUGCUUACAAGAGCAGGAUAUGCUGCUCCUGUCUACAAGACUAAACAGUUGAAGAACAACCAGUUUCGGGCCACAGUUGAGUUCAAUGGAGUGGAGAUAAUGGGCCAACCUUGCAGCAAUAAGAAGAGUGCAGAGAAAGAUGCCGCAGCUGAAGCUCUGCAAUGGUUGAUGGGCAAGCAAGCUGGCUGUGAGUAUAUCGAUCACAUGUCAAUGUUUCUCAAAAAAAGUAAGAAGGAUCACAAUUAAGUAAUCAACUCUAUUGAGCUUAAUGCCAAGGUAAAGGAACCCCAGGUAUGUACUUGACCUAAUCCUGGGUUCCUACUCGUAUUCUAGAGGCACAAGAAGGUUGGGCCAUGUCAUUUUGGAUCUCUUGUUCAUGAAAGCGGUGAAAGCCCGUACACAACAUCACACUGUUUCAAUUUGAAGUUGGAAGAUAAUCUAAAAUAUGAAUCAAGGAAUUGCUCUUGAAGAUAUUUUCAGCAAGAAAAUACUUGGUUAGCUGGUUAGAGGUAAUUGGUAUGGUCAUUUUGUAACAGGAGGACGUCGUACAUAUUCAGCGGGAAAUGAUGCCGUAGUUACAUGGUUGUGCAUACAAAUUUUUGCAAAUUAUGCAGCUGAUGUGUUUGUAAUAUGAAGCUGCUAUUGUAGUAUACUAAAGAAGAAGCUAAGUGGAAGUAAAGGACAUUUUGAGUUUGAUUACUCUUGCCAAUUGUAAAGUAGCAAACAAAGUGAAGAAGAAAUGCAUUUCAACUGGAAUAGUCAUAUUGUAUAGUAUGCUAGUUUGCAAAAACAAUUGUAAUUUCUAUUUUAAAUUUAUGAUUUGAUUCACAACAUUAUAUUGUAAUCAAGUUCUAUUUUAUAUUGUAAUCAAGUUCAUUGAUGUGUUGUGA
RNA transcript from Medicago truncatula (barrel medic), 4318 nucleotides. It is a transcript of the gene named DExH-box ATP-dependent RNA helicase DExH5, mitochondrial, with no coding region annotated. The transcript has 20 exons. The record is from RefSeq and is a predicted model, not a curated record. NCBI's taxonomy places the organism in Eukaryota, Viridiplantae, Streptophyta, Magnoliopsida, Fabales, Fabaceae.